This 764-nucleotide ribosomal RNA is filed under the name uncultured organism. Its description in RNAcentral is "bacterial SSU rRNA". It matches the Rfam family "Bacterial small subunit ribosomal RNA", at positions 217 to 996 of the family's 1533-position model. The record is from RNAcentral.
ACUUUUCCAAGAGCCUGCGUCCGAUUAGCUAGUUGGUGGAGGUAAAGGCUCACCAAGGCAUAUCGGUAGCUGGUUUGAGAGGAUGAUCAGCCAGGGUGGAACUGAGACACGGUCCAGACUCCUACAGGAGGCAGCAGUAGGGAAUUUUGCGCAAUGGGCGAAAGCCUGACGCAGCGACGCCGCGUGAGUGAAGAAGGCCUUCGGGUUGUAAAACUCUUUUCUUUAGGAAGAUAACGACGGUACUAAAGGAAUAAGCAUCGACUAACUACGUGCCAGCAGUCGCGGUAAUACGUAGGAUGCAAGCGUUAUCCGGAUUUAUUGGGCGUAAGAAGUAUGUAGGCGGUUAUUAAAGUCUGCAGUGAAAUCUCUAGGCUUAACUUAGAAACUGCUGCGGAUACUUAAUUUCUGGAGAGUAGUGGAGGAGAAUGGAAUUCUCGGUGUAGCGGUAAAAUGUGUUGAUAUCGAGAGGAACACCAGAGGCGAAAGCGAUUCUCUAUACUGACUCUGACGCUGAGAUACGAAAGCUAGGGUAGCGAAAGGGAUUAGAGACCCCUGUAGUCCUAGCCGUAAACGAUGAAUGCUAGAUGUCAGAGGUAUCGACCCCUCUGGUGUCGCAGUUAACCGCGUUAAGCAUUCUGCCUGGGGAGUACGGCCGCAAGGCUAAAACUCAAAGGAAUUGACGGGGGACCCGCACAAGCAGCGGAGCGUGUGGUUUAAUUCGAUGAUACACGAAGAAUCUCACCAAGGCUUGACAUAUAAGUGGU